UACGGAGGGAGCUAGCGUUGUUCGGAAUUACUGGGCGUAAAGCGCGCGUAGGCGGCUUUGUAAGUUAGAGGUGAAAGCCCAGAGCUCAACUCCGGAACUGCCUUUAAAACUGCAUCGCUUGAAUCCAGGAGAGGUGAGUGGAAUUCCGAGUGUAGAGGUGAAAUUCGUAGAUAUUCGGAAGAACACCAGUGGCGAAGGCGGCUCACUGGACUGGUAUUGACGCUGAGGUGCGAAAGCGUGGGGAGCAAACAGG
Molecule: ribosomal RNA, 253 nt
Filed under: uncultured bacterium
Lineage: Bacteria
Description: partial 16S ribosomal RNA
Rfam family: Bacterial small subunit ribosomal RNA
Source: RNAcentral